Molecule: ribosomal RNA, 167 nt
Filed under: Rhyacichthys aspro (loach goby)
Lineage: Eukaryota; Metazoa; Chordata; Actinopteri; Gobiiformes; Rhyacichthyidae
Description: partial 12S rRNA
Source: RNAcentral
CACCGCGGUUAUACGAGAGGCUCAAGCUGAUAGACGCCGGCGUAAAGGGUGGUUAAGAAAUAACAAAACUAAAGCCGAACUUCUCCAAGGCUGUCAUACGCACCCGGAGAAAUGAAGAACCCCUACGAAAGUGGCUUUAAACCUCUGAACCCACGAAAGCCAGGAUA